RNAcentral lists this unclassified non-coding RNA (499 nucleotides) under uncultured Paraglomus. RNAcentral's name for it is "SSU rRNA". It matches the Rfam family "Eukaryotic small subunit ribosomal RNA", at positions 591 to 1092 of the family's 1831-position model. The record is from RNAcentral. Lineage: Eukaryota; Fungi; Glomeromycota; Glomeromycetes; Paraglomerales; Paraglomeraceae.
CCAAUAGCGUAUAUUAAAGUUGUUGUGGUUAAAAAGCUCGUAGUUGAACCUUGGGCCUGGCUGGCCGGUCCGCCUCACCGCGUGUACUGGUCCGGCCGGGCCUUUCCCUCUGUGGAACCUCAUGCCCUUCACUGGGUGUGACGGGGAAGCAGGACUUUUACUGUGAAAAAAUUAGAGUGCUCCAAGCAGGCCUAUGCUCGAAUACAUUAGCAUGGAAUAAUAAAAUAGGACGUGCGGUUCUAUUUUGUUGGUUUCUAGGACCGCCGUAAUGAGUAAUAGGGACAGUCGGGGGCAUCAGUAUUCAAUUGUCAGAGGUGUAAUUCUUGGAUUUAUUGAAGACUAACUACUGCGAAAGCAUUUGCCAAGGAUGUUUUCAUUAAUCAGGAACGAAAGUUAGGGGAUCGAAGACGAUCAGAUACCGUCGUAGUCUUAACCAUAAACUAUGCCGACUAGGGAUCGGACGAUGUUAAUUUUUUAAUGACUCAUUCGGCGCCUUACG